GAUGAAGAACGUAGCGAAAUGCGAUACGUAAUGUGAAUUGCAAAUUCAGUGAAUCAUCGAGUCUUUGAACGCACAUUGCGCCCCCUGGUAUUCCGGGGGGCAUGCCUGUCCGAGCGUCAUUGCUGCCCUCAAGCACGGCUUGUGUGUUGGGCCCCGUCCUCCGAUCCCGGGGGACGGGCCCGAAAGGCAGCGGCGGCACCGCGUCCGGUCCUCGAGCGUAUGGGGCUUUGUCACCCGCUCUGUAGGCCCGGCCGGCGCUUGCCGAUCAACCCAAAUUUUUAUCCAGGUUGACCUCGGAUGAGGUAGGGAUACCCGCUGAACUUAAGCAUAUCAAUAAGCGGAGGA
Molecule: unclassified non-coding RNA, 345 nt
Filed under: soil metagenome
Description: partial contains 5.8S ribosomal RNA, internal transcribed spacer 2, and large subunit ribosomal RNA
Rfam family: 5.8S ribosomal RNA (bases 1-119)
Source: RNAcentral